AUCCCAGCCCCGGCACGGAGCGAGGGGGGCUCUCCACACCCACCCAGAAACACCCAGGGGUCAAAACCAUCCCCCCCGACCGCUGCAGGAACCAAGGUGAAGGUUUGGGGAGGUGCUGGAGGCACUUCCCAGCACCGCAUUUCGGCAGGGAAGGCAGGAGGGAGGUUUUGGGCAGGCAGCUGCCUUGCCAUGUAAUUGGGAUUUUGGGGGAGAGAGAAAAAAAAAAAAAUCCUCCCGAAUAUGCAAAGCGAUGGAGGCAGCAAAAAGAAGGUUUGAGGAGUGAAAGGUCCGGCUGCUGUGGGUCAGGCAGACACACGUGUAGGGGCUCGGUGGGGUGAGCAGGGCCGGGCACCGAUGGGGCAAAAGGAGGGGGCGACCCCGAGUGAAGCCAGGCAGGAAGCACAGGAAAACCUC
This is a long non-coding RNA of Oxyura jamaicensis (ruddy duck), 414 nucleotides long. RefSeq lists it as uncharacterized. NCBI's taxonomy places the organism in Eukaryota, Metazoa, Chordata, Aves, Anseriformes, Anatidae. The record is from RefSeq and is a predicted model, not a curated record. The transcript is spliced from 3 exons.